UGUACACACGGUCUUCUGCUCUUGAAGC
This 28-nucleotide non-coding RNA is filed under the name Rattus norvegicus (Norway rat). Lineage: Eukaryota; Metazoa; Chordata; Mammalia; Rodentia; Muridae. The record is from RNAcentral.